CUUAGUUGGUGGCGCACUUGGACAAGUUCUUGGUGGGCUAACGUAUACUUUUAAUUAAUAAAAUCUAUACAUUUAGCCCGCUCAAUGAGCGGGCUUUUUAUU
Regulatory RNA element from Vibrio genomosp. F6 str. FF-238, 102 nucleotides. It matches the Rfam family "Tryptophan operon leader". Rfam says of the family: At least 6 amino acid operons are known to be regulated by attenuation. In each a leader sequence of 150-200 bp is found upstream of the first gene in the operon. This leader sequence can assume two different secondary structures known as the terminator and the anti-terminator structure. Lineage: Bacteria; Pseudomonadati; Pseudomonadota; Gammaproteobacteria; Vibrionales; Vibrionaceae. The record is from Rfam.